RNAcentral lists this ribosomal RNA (484 nucleotides) under uncultured bacterium. RNAcentral describes it as "partial 16S ribosomal RNA". It matches the Rfam family "Bacterial small subunit ribosomal RNA", at positions 30 to 507 of the family's 1533-position model. The record is from RNAcentral.
AUUGAACGCUGGCGGCAGGCCUAACACAUGCAAGUCGAGCGGAUGAAGGGAGCUUGCUCCUGGAUUCAGCGGCGGACGGGUGAGUAAUGCCUAGGGAUCUGCCUGGUAGUGGGGGAUAACGUCCGGAAACGGGCGCUAAUACCGCAUACGUCCUGAGGGAGAAAGUGGGGGAUCUUCGGACCUCACGCUAUCAGAUGAGCCUAGGUCGGAUUAGCUAGUUGGUGGGGUAAAGGCCUACCAAGGCGACGAUCCGUAACUGGUCUGAGAGGAUGAUCAGUCACACUGGAACUGAGACACGGUCCAGACUCCUACGGGAGGCAGCAGUGGGGAAUAUUGGACAAUGGGCGAAAGCCUGAUCCAGCCAUGCCGCGUGUGUGAAGAAGGUCUUCGGAUUGUAAAGCACUUUAAGUUGGGAGGAAGGGCAGUAAGCUAAUACCUUGCUGUUUUGACGUUACCAACAGAAUAAGCACCGGCUAACUUCGUG